ACUCCUACGGGAGGCAGCAGUGGGGAAUUUUGGACAAUGGGGGCGAACCCUGAUCCAGCAAUGCCGCGUGAGUGAAGAAGGCCCUCGGGUUGUAAAGCUCUUUUGUCAGGGAAGAAACGGUGAUCUCUAAUAUAGAUUGCUAAUGACGGUACCUGAAGAAUAAGCACCGGCUAACUACGUGCCAGCAGCCGCGGUAAUACGUAGGGGUGCAAGCGUUAAUCGGAAUUACUGGGCGUAAAGCGUGCGCAGGCGGUUUUGUAAGUCUGAUGUGAAAUCCCCGGGGCUCAACCUGGGAACUGCAUUGGAGACUGCAAGGCUAGAGUGUGUCAGAGGGGGGUAGAAUUCCACGUGUAGCAGUGAAAUGCGUAGAGAUGUGGAGGAAUACCGAUGGCGAAGGCAGCCCCCUGGGAUAACACUGACGCUCAUGCACGAAAGCGUGGGGAGCAAACAGGAUUAGAUACCCUGGUAGGAUAGCC
RNAcentral lists this ribosomal RNA (476 nucleotides) under uncultured bacterium. RNAcentral's name for it is "bacterial SSU rRNA". It matches the Rfam family "Bacterial small subunit ribosomal RNA", at positions 335 to 796 of the family's 1533-position model. The record is from RNAcentral.